Molecule: small nucleolar RNA, 133 nt
Organism: Conger conger (European conger)
Lineage: Eukaryota; Metazoa; Chordata; Actinopteri; Anguilliformes; Congridae
Product: small nucleolar RNA SNORA70
Exons: 1
Source: RefSeq, a predicted model, not a curated record
GUGCAGUCCAAUAAGCUGACCAGACGGGAUGUUGUGCUGCUCUGGUGUGCAAUGGCUGCGACAUUAACGUCUGUGGUUGUGUAUGCGCGUCGCUGUCAGUGCGGCGUGCUUUUAAGGGACCGCUGAGACAUUU